RNAcentral lists this transfer RNA (68 nucleotides) under Marmota monax (woodchuck). RNAcentral's name for it is "tRNA.Ala". Lineage: Eukaryota; Metazoa; Chordata; Mammalia; Rodentia; Sciuridae. The record is from RNAcentral.
GGAAUGUAGCUCAGUGGUAGAGUGCUGGCCAAGCAUGUACAGGGCUCUGGGUUCAAUCCCCAGAACCA